AUUGAACGCUGGCGGCAGGCCUAACACAUGCGAGUCGAACGGUAACAGGAAGCAGCUUGCUGCUUUGCUGACGAGUGGCGGACGGGUGAGCAAUGUCUGGGAAACUGCCUGAUGGAGGGGGAUAACUACUGGAAACGGUAGCUAAUACCGCAUAACGUCGCAAGACCAAAGAGGGGGACCUUCGGGCCUCUUGCCAUCGGAUGUGCCCAGAUGGGAUUAGCUAGUAGGUGGGGGAACGGCUCACCAAGGCGACGAUCCCUAGCCGGCAUGAGAGGAUGACGGGCCACACGGGAACUGAGCCACGGUCCAGACUACUACGGGAGGCAGCAGUAGGGAAUCUUACGCAAUGGGCGAAAGCUUGACGGAGCAACGCCGCGUGAGUGAUGAAGGUCUUCGGAUCGUAAAACUCUGUUAUGAGGGAAGAACAAAUGUGUAAGUAACUAUGCGCGCCUUGACGGUACCUAAUCAGAAAGCCACGGCUAACUACGUG
Molecule: ribosomal RNA, 490 nt
Filed under: uncultured bacterium
Lineage: Bacteria
Description: partial 16S ribosomal RNA
Rfam family: Bacterial small subunit ribosomal RNA
Source: RNAcentral